GGUAGUAUGGCCGAGUGGUAAGCGCCGACCUUUUUCUCUACUUCCAAACAAAGAAUCCCCCUCUGAUUAGCUUGACUUUGCAGGUUCAAGGCGUCAGACUUAAGUUCUGAUGGGUGUAACGCCCGCCUGGGUUCGAACCCCAGUGCUACCA
RNAcentral lists this transfer RNA (151 nucleotides) under Penicillium paxilli ATCC 26601. RNAcentral describes it as "tRNA-Leu (TAA) (tRNA-Leu-TAA-2-1)". It matches the Rfam family "tRNA". From Rfam's summary of the family: Transfer RNA (tRNA) molecules are approximately 80 nucleotides in length. Their secondary structure includes four short double-helical elements and three loops (D, anti-codon, and T loops). The record is from RNAcentral. Lineage: Eukaryota; Fungi; Ascomycota; Eurotiomycetes; Eurotiales; Aspergillaceae.